AGGAGAGGAAAAUGAGCAAGAAAUCAUGAACUUUUAAAUCCAAAUGAAACUCUUCUCUUCCUCUUCUUAUGCGUGUCUUCUCUUCUUCUCCUUCUGUUCAAUCUUUCAACUUGUCCUCUUCUUCUUUUCUAUUCGAUCAUCAUCAUCAUCAUUUCAAUUAUCAUCAUCCCAACCAUUAUUAAAUCCUCGUGUCAUAAUGAGUAGGUUACACAACCUCUAAGUUCUACAUUGUGAUGAAUCCUUCUCCAAAGAUUCCCAAAAAGCAGCUUAUUGAGGAUGACAUCAUCAAUCAUCGUCUUUUUUCGAGAUAGAAACACAACAACAUAGAGAGAAAGUAAGUAGUAAAUAUACUAAUUAUUUGUUUGUGUGAUGUAAUUCUAUUCAACAUAGUACUUUUUAUAUUACCGACAUACAAUUUUACCAUAACUAUAAUUGUUUCGCAUAAAAAGAAAAUCCUUUUCGCCCAAGGAAAUCAUGAUUAACUUUCAUUAAUUCUCUCAUUCAAACUAUUGAUCAAGACACCUGAAACGACAAGGAAAUAACAGGCCUGGCGCAAAACGACCAGACCGUUGCGUGUUAUGGUUGUUUACCAACACAAACACUUUAAUACAUACAUUAAAAAAACAAGUGCAUGCUUGGGACAAAUCGUUUUGAUAUUAAUCAAAUAAUUCCAAAUAAAAUCGAAAAGAUCAAUGUAGAUCGGCAGAUAUGAGAACUUCCAUUAAUCUUGAUCAAUAUCAUCUCACGGAAGCCAAUAAAGUUACAAGAAUUUCAGGGUCUAAUCUCAAUUAUGAUUGGUUUUCAAGACGAGAUACAACUCCACCUGCUCUCGACAUCGAUAUUCUUUCUCUGAAGCCAAUUACAAUCUCAGUCAUAAUUCCUCUCUAUUCAUCCUUAGUAAUUGAGCAAAUCUCUAUAAUAAGACAAGAGCCGUCAACGCUAUAAAAACAAAUUUCACAUCGUCUUAAAAUAAAAUAAAAAUAAAAAAAAUAUACUAGAUCGUUGUCAGCUCAUUGGUCGAGUGAGUAAAAAAUGAUAACCAAUCACCCUCAACCAUCAACACCAAUGGCUUCCUUGAUAAGCAGAAACUAGUACAUAAUUGAUUAGUUACAAAACUUAAGGCCAAAGGCUUUAACAUACAUUAAAUUAGAACUGAUUUGAUUUGUGGCGACGUGUGUCUUUUGUUCUCAAGAAGAAGUUUAAACAAGUAUUUCCAUAGAUUCAAAAUUCAAACUCAGAUGCCAUCCCAACUACCAACUCAUCAAUAAAUUACAAAAGAAUUACAAGUGUAUUGCAUUCCUUCUUCGCUGACUAGUAUGCGCAAUUCUAAUUAAUUAUCCUUUCUGUACGAUUAUACGUACGCGCGCUGUCCUGGUAGCCCAAUUUUUUUUUUAACAUAAAUCCAUCAUCACAGUUCAUUUUUAAUUUGUGAUUUUAACGGUUUACAAUUAUUCAAAUAUUAAAUUUCUAUUUCACAUUUUAUUUUUGAUCUCAUAUGUCUUCUCAAUUUGACAAAAGAUUUUGCUUUCUCAAGUUGACAAAGGAACUUUAGCAAGCUAAGGGAGCAGCUCAGAGAGCAAAAGAAGAAGACGAAGGAAACACAACUCUGAAAAAAUGCAGUAAGAUAACAAAAUCCCGAUGCUUCAAAACAAGACUUGAAACAUUCUGCAACUAAAAAACCAAACAAAACACCAUGUAUAACACCCCAAAGUGACAGCAAAAAACAGCAGCAACAAUUUGUUAAACCACAUGAAAUUUUUUAUUUGAAAUCACAUGAAAUUUUGGAUCAAUUGCAAUCCAAUUUCAGAUCGCAAACUGAAAUAAAAAAUAAAAUGUGAAAUAGAAAUUUAAUAUUUGAGUAAUUGUAAACCGUUAAAAUUCGAAUAAUUAUGAACCGUCGAGAUCGCAAACUGAAAAUGGACGUUGGUGAUGAAUUUACAUUACCAAAAAAAACUGGAUACAUCGAAAGUUUCGGUAUACCAGAUAUACCGAAGAAGAAUUCACCCAUUAACUAUCUUAUCUCUUGUACAUGUUUUUUUCUUUAUUUCCUAAGAAUUGUUCAUUAGAGAUGUGGCAAAUGUUUAUUUUUGUCACAAGUUUUGAAAUUGCUAUAGAAAUCAUAUUUCAUACUCGGAUUCUGACCUGGUUCGUCGGAUUUCAAAGGGAGCCGCUUGCGGUUUGCUUCUCUCCUCUUCUUUCAAAGUCAUCUACCUCCUUGUUCCACUCUUUGUGCAAUGAUCCGAAGAUGUUGUGGUUUCCUCAUAUGGGCCCAGAUGUUUGUGGUUGAGUUUGCAGCAGAGACGUUUCCUCUUGUCAAAAGGUUGUCAUCGUUCAUCUUCCCUCUCGCUCCUUGCCUCAUUUUCCGACAAUUUUCCGGCGGGAUGAGCCUCCGGUGUGCUGACUGAAGACUGUUGGUGGCGGCUGCUUGUUUGUGGAAGAUAGAUGUAGGGUUUGUUGUUGGCUUAUUUGUUGUGCGUUUGUGUUCACUUUCUGGACUUUGAUUAUGUCCUGUUCUAUUUUGUCUUUCUAUUGGGUUUUUAACCUAUUUUUUGUAAUCCUUUUCAAAUUUUAAUAGCAAUAUUAAAAGUUGACCUGUAUAAGCAGAGAAACACAAACUUAUCC
RNAcentral lists this long non-coding RNA (2622 nucleotides) under Linum usitatissimum (flax). Its description in RNAcentral is "long non-coding RNA (LUSI_LNC002724)". Lineage: Eukaryota; Viridiplantae; Streptophyta; Magnoliopsida; Malpighiales; Linaceae. The record is from RNAcentral.